This 253-nucleotide ribosomal RNA is filed under the name uncultured bacterium. Its description in RNAcentral is "partial 16S ribosomal RNA". It matches the Rfam family "Bacterial small subunit ribosomal RNA", at positions 524 to 776 of the family's 1533-position model. The record is from RNAcentral.
UACGUAGGGGGCGAGCGUUGUCCGGAAUUAUUGGGCGUAAAGAGCUCGUAGGCGGCUUGUCACGUCGAUUGUGAAAGCUCGGGGCUUAACCCCGAGUCUGCAGUCGAUACGGGCUAGCUAGAGUGUGGUAGGGGAGACCGGAAUUCCUGGUGUAGCGGUGAAAUGCGCAGAUAUCAGGAGGAACACCGGUGGCGAAGGCGGAUCUCUGGGCCAUUACUGACGCUGAGGAGCGAAAGCGUGGGGAGCGAACAGG